This 2042-nucleotide long non-coding RNA is filed under the name Homo sapiens (human). RNAcentral describes it as "HSALNT0369780". The record is from RNAcentral. Lineage: Eukaryota; Metazoa; Chordata; Mammalia; Primates; Hominidae.
CAGCCCCUCUCUUUUAUUUUUAAGGGCAGAAAAAGACGAAGUGAGAAAGGAGCCUCCCUUAUCCUCCUCCUCUUUCCCCUCGCAGUCCAGCAUCAAAACACUCAUUCUUAGGAUGGAGCAGGGGUGGAAAAGUGCAGGAACAUUAGGCCUUGUCUGUGUAUUGGCUCCGUUAGGAGCUAUUGUUGCUCAGCAGCUGUUCCUCUUGCUUCUUAGGAAGCCCUGCCUGCAAGUGGGCUGGGGAACCAGUGUGACACUGGCAGCUGGGGGAAGUGGGGAGGAACAUCGAAUAUUUUUUCACCAUGAGAAAGAUGGGCUUUGUUUCUCAAAAAAGAACAGAGAUCCUGUUUCUGGGUAGCUGUUAUCAGAAACUGGUUUUAAUAAAUACAGUUGGAGAGUGAAAGUAAGAGUGUGUGUGUGUGUGUGCGCGUGCGUGUGUGUUUUGGGGGCGGGGGAUAGAAGAGAAAGAGAACAUAAAGUCACAACCUACUCAACCUUUAAUCCUUUUUUUAAGGUAGGAAAAGCUGAAAAAUUUCAGCCAAAUGAAAAGCAUAAAGUGGUUGAGAAAGGCUUUAUGACUAAGAGAGGAUUGCAAUGGAAAAUACGUAAAAAGAGAAGUUAAACCAGCUGGCUUAUUUAAUUUUGACUCCCCACUCCCCCUUUCACUUUUUUUUUUACCUUCAGCCUAAACUAGGGAAAAAUGUACUGUGUAAAUAUUCAGUGUUUUUCUUAGUUUUUAUCCCUAACAAAAUUUUUUACAGGACUUAGUUUAGUGAAUCUCCAGAGACUGGGUGUGAACGUGACUUUUCACCCCUGGGUCACGGGUCACUUCCUGCUUCUUCUUAUAGGAAGAUUGCUUAAGAAGAAGCUAAUAUAAAAGCACCAUGUUCAUGAUGCUUUGACAUCUUGGGGCAUCUUGCAGACCAGGGAUGGACUGCCCCUCCCAGGUUUGGCUAAUUCCUGGAGAUACUAAACAACUCGGCUUAGAACACAUCUUUUAUAUGCAAGACAACAAAUCCAGGCUCCAUACCCUCAUCUCAUCCUUUUAUCAGGCUCCUCCAGCACAGAACAUUAUCCUCCUGCUCUAAGUCACCCAGAGCCAGGAGAAUUUUACCCUCUUGUCAGUCUUGGCCAUGUGAUUUCAUCUGGCAAAUGACAUGGGAGUGGAAGUGACAUGCCCAGAAGAUUUGAGAGCUGUGGUGAGAUCCCAUCAUUUCCCUUCUGACACAAGGCACACCACAUCCCCAGAUGGAGGUAUUCUGUCAAUCUGGAUCCCAAAGUGAAAAGGAUGAAGGACAAAGUCACAACUGAUGGAGAGCCAUCAUGGAAGAUGAGGAAAAUAUUAGCUUUACUCUUACAAAGCACUGAGAUUUGAGGGUCACUUGUUCUUGCAGCAUAGCCCAGCAAAGAAUGACCGAUACACUUUUCUUCACAAAACCUCUGUCUAAUUGAACUCAAACUCUGAACCAUACGCUGAAUGAAAGAAUGGUCCGUUCCUAUUUCGAUAGGUCAACCCUCAUUUUUAUAAGUGCACAGCUUCAGGAAGGCACACAUGCAGUCAUGAAGGGAGAAAGUGGAGUUCUCAACUAUUGAAGCCAGUGAGCUAACUUCUGCAUUCACCGACAUGAAACAUGCUGAAGUCUGUUUGCCUUGCAGUUCUCUGCUGGAUGUGCCAAGAGGGCUCUAUUUUAGAGAAGGAAAACUAACAAUAGAUUCCCGCCAACUAAAAGGGGAUUUCUUUUCCUGGGAAGGAAAAAAUAAAUGGAAAAAAAGAUCUUUAUCUGGUGAUUUGUACUGAAAUGAGAAUAGUCAGAGCUCAUCAUCAUAUCAUUUUUAAUAGUAACGUCUCAUAGAGAAACAUAAAAGAAACUUAUUAAAGACAAAAAUAGUUUAUACAAACUUUUUGCUAAGCAUAUAAAGUUGAAUGCAUAACAUUCCUUCCUCCUCCAGUCUACCUUCUCCAUUCUUGUUUCAUUUCCUUUUUUUGUCUUUUUUCCUUAUCCUUACCCAAAAUAUACUCUAGGCCAUUUUGGAAGAUGCAAGGA